GGCCAAUGGUGUGAUAGGGUUCUC
RNAcentral lists this non-coding RNA (24 nucleotides) under Arabidopsis thaliana (thale cress). The record is from RNAcentral. Lineage: Eukaryota; Viridiplantae; Streptophyta; Magnoliopsida; Brassicales; Brassicaceae.